GACAGAGGGUGCAAACGUUGUUCGGAAUUACUGGGCGUAAAGCGCAUGUAGGCGGCCUAGCAGGUCGGAUGUGAAAUCCCUCGGCUCAACCAAGGAAGUGCAUUCGAAACCGCAAGGCUCGAGUCCGGAAGAGGUUGGUGGAACUGCGAGUGUAGAGGUGAAAUUCGUAGAUAUUCGCAAGAACACCAGUGGCGAAGGCGGCCAACUGGUCCGGUACUGACGCUGAGGUGCGAAAGCGUGGGGAGCAAACAGG
This 253-nucleotide ribosomal RNA is filed under the name uncultured bacterium. RNAcentral's name for it is "partial 16S ribosomal RNA". It matches the Rfam family "Bacterial small subunit ribosomal RNA", at positions 524 to 776 of the family's 1533-position model. The record is from RNAcentral.